AAGGAUAUAGCUAUACCUAAGUAACAGAUUCUUACUCUGUAGAAGAGCACAGCUCUAUCCUUA
Molecule: transfer RNA, 63 nt
Filed under: Gyrodactylus brachymystacis
Lineage: Eukaryota; Metazoa; Platyhelminthes; Monogenea; Gyrodactylidea; Gyrodactylidae
Description: tRNA-Lys
Source: RNAcentral